Molecule: ribosomal RNA, 468 nt
Filed under: uncultured bacterium
Lineage: Bacteria
Description: partial 16S ribosomal RNA
Rfam family: Bacterial small subunit ribosomal RNA
Source: RNAcentral
GACGAACGCUGGCGGCGUGCUUAACACAUGCAAGUCGAACGGAAAGGCCCUGCUUUUGUUGGUUGCUCGAUUGGCGAACGGGUGAGUGACACGUGAGUAACCUGCCCUUGUCUUUGUGAUAACUUCAGGAAGCUGGGGCUCAUACCGCAUAUGAUCUCCUACUGCAUGUUGGUGGUUGGAAAGUUUCGGCUGUUGGGGAUGGACUCGCGGCUUAUCAGCUUGUUGGUGGGGUAGUUGCUUACCAAGGGUUUGACGGGUAGCCGGCCUGAGAGGGUGAACGGCCACAUUGGGACUGAGAGACGGACCAGAAGCCUACGGGAGGCAGCAGGGGGGAAUAUUGCACAAUGGGCGGAAGCCUGAUGCAGAAACCUCGCGUGCGGGAUGACGGCCUUUGGGUUGUAAACAGCUUUCGCAUGUGACGAAGAGUGAGUGACGGUAAUGGGUAAAGAAGCACCGGCUAACUACGUG